UACAGAGGUCUCAAGCGUUGUUCGGAUUCAUUGGGCGUAAAGGGUGCGUAGGCGGUUUGUCACGUCGGAUGUGAAACCCUGAGGCUCAACCUCAGGCCUGCAUUCGAUACGGGCAGACUAGAAUUCGGCAGGGGAGACUGGAAUUCCUGGUGUAGCGGUGAAAUGCGCAGAUAUCAGGAGGAACACCGGUGGCGAAGGCGGGUCUCUGGGCCGAUAUUGACGCUGAGGAGCGAAAGCGUGGGGAGCAAACAGG
This 253-nucleotide ribosomal RNA is filed under the name uncultured bacterium. Its description in RNAcentral is "partial 16S ribosomal RNA". It matches the Rfam family "Bacterial small subunit ribosomal RNA", at positions 524 to 776 of the family's 1533-position model. The record is from RNAcentral.